AUUAAAACGAAGAUGAGAAGAGUAAUUAGUUAACUCUGAUAAAGAGAGUCCGAAUGGUGAGACCGGAUAUUGAGAAGACUGAUGAAGAUGAGCUCAGAGAAAGCUAACUGGUUCACGCUGGUUGGACGGUAGCAACCGUUACAUUGCCGGGUAUCGCUCUUAUUAGGGUACCAGUGAGGUCUAUUUUGUGAGAAAUAGACAAAGUAAGGUGGUACCGCGAAAGCAUUCGUCCUUUAA
RNAcentral lists this non-coding RNA (237 nucleotides) under Pediococcus claussenii. RNAcentral's name for it is "T-box sequence". It matches the Rfam family "T-box leader". From Rfam's summary of the family: Uncharged tRNA acts as the effector for transcription antitermination of genes in the T-box leader family. T-boxes are found upstream of many aminoacyl-tRNA synthetase genes and some amino acid biosynthetic genes usually in Gram-positive bacteria. Lineage: Bacteria; Bacillati; Bacillota; Bacilli; Lactobacillales; Lactobacillaceae. The record is from RNAcentral.